AGCAACCGCGGUAAUUCCAGCUCCAAUAGCGUAUAUUAAAGUUGCUGCAGUUAAAAAGCUCGUAGUUGAAUUUCGGGACCAAUAUGUCGGUCGUGCCUCGGUACGUACUGGCAUCGUUGGUUUCUCCUUUCUGAAGAAUCAUGAUGUCAUUUAUUUGGUGUCGUGGGGAAUCAGGACUGUUACUUUGAAAAAAUUAGAGUGUUUAGAGCAGGCUCACGCUUGAAUACAUUAGCAUGGAAUAAUGAAAUAGGACGUUUGAUUCUAUUUUGUUGGUUUCUAGGAUCGACGUAAUGAUUAAUAGGGAUAGUUGGGGGCAUUAGUAUUCAAUUGUCAGAGGUGAAAUUCUUGGAUUUAUUGAAGACUAACUACUGCGAAAGCACUUGCCAAGGAUGUUUUCAUUAAUCAAGAGCGAAAGUUAGGGGAUCGAAGACGAUCAGAUACCGUCGUAGUCUUAACCAUAAACUAUGCCGACUAGGGAUCGGAUGAUGUUAAUUUUUUAAUGACUCAUUCGGCGCCUUAC
RNAcentral lists this unclassified non-coding RNA (520 nucleotides) under uncultured Glomus. RNAcentral describes it as "SSU rRNA". It matches the Rfam family "Eukaryotic small subunit ribosomal RNA", at positions 569 to 1091 of the family's 1831-position model. The record is from RNAcentral. Lineage: Eukaryota; Fungi; Glomeromycota; Glomeromycetes; Glomerales; Glomeraceae.